Molecule: non-coding RNA, 835 nt
Organism: Pseudopodoces humilis (Tibetan ground-tit)
Lineage: Eukaryota; Metazoa; Chordata; Aves; Passeriformes; Paridae
Source: RefSeq, a predicted model, not a curated record
UUCAGAGGUGCCGAUCCUGAGGUGAGUCAGAAAGGAACAUUUGAUGUUCCUGGUGUUUCAGAAUUGUGCAGGGAACUGUGAGCUUGGUCUGUGGCAGUAGAGUGUGGAGGGGCAGCUGGGUGGGCUGAAAGAAGAUCCAUUUCCAUGUUUACAACAGCAAUAGCAAAGGCAUUGUUGGUUAUUUCCUAAUUUUCCAUUGCAGAGCUUUAAAAGAAGUAAAAGCCCAGUUUUGGAGAGAGAACGUUGCUUGCUGAUAGUAGCCAGGGUGAACUCUCUAAUUCAGAACUAUUUGCAGUAUGGCUGAAUUAACCCAUUUUAAUUUAGUUGGAGAGACUUAGAAUCCCAUUGCUAUCAAAGCUGAUGAUUUGUGCUUGGUAGAGCUGGUUGUGGAAAUAGAGCUGAAGAGAAAUAAGGUUCUAAAUGAUAGGUAGCUGCCUGUCCCUAACUCCACCAUCUGUCCACAGAGCCCAGAAGCAAGAGCAGACUCUCCUGGGGCUCCCUCUGCUCCUGGAGAAGAGGCCAAAGAGGAGCAAAAUGAGCAAAAGGACCACGAGCCUCCAGCUGUGGUCACAGCCCAGCCUGACCAUCCCCAGACAGUCCUUCCAGAGAAAGAGCAGGAGCAGAUUGUUUUCUCAGGGAGGCCGUGCCAGACUGAGGGAGAGCUGUUCCCAGCCCAAGAGCAGGAAGAGCAGCUGGGGCAGCAGGUGGAAGAGCCACUGGAGAAUGGCCAGAACAUCAAGGCAGAGCCCCAAGCAGAGCUGCCCGAAGCUCAGAGGGCCAUCAUGGCAGUGAAGAGGAGGCACGAAGAAGACAGGAGAAACAUCCAAGAGGAGAU